This 158-nucleotide non-coding RNA is filed under the name Alphaproteobacteria bacterium. Its description in RNAcentral is "6S RNA". It matches the Rfam family "6S / SsrS RNA". From Rfam's summary of the family: E. coli 6S RNA was the first non coding RNA to be sequenced, but its function was unknown until recently. It consists of 184 nucleotides that fold into an extended hairpin structure with a large single-stranded internal bulge. Lineage: Bacteria; Pseudomonadati; Pseudomonadota; Alphaproteobacteria. The record is from RNAcentral.
GUGGUUCUGUCCUGUGCGUGGUUUAUCUUACUCCCCGGGGCGAUAAUCUUUCCGAAGGGAGCUGUCCCUGUCCGGGCCGUGGUCCGGUUAUAUGGCGCCCACCUGUAUUAACAGGUUCCGGAGGAUAAUAUAUAAAGUACGGCAAAGACGGUUCCGCC